Molecule: unclassified non-coding RNA, 381 nt
Filed under: uncultured Alphaproteobacteria bacterium
Lineage: Bacteria; Pseudomonadati; Pseudomonadota; Alphaproteobacteria
Description: contains 16S-23S intergenic spacer region
Source: RNAcentral
UCCGGCUUAUCACCGGCAGUUUCCUUAAAGUGCCCAGCCAAACCUGAUGGCAACUAAGGAUGAGGGUUGCGCUCGUUGCGGGACUUAACCCAACAUCUCACGACACGAGCUGACGACAGCCAUGCAGCACCUGUGUGGACGCCACCCGAAGUGAAAAACUUGAUCUCUCAAGUCUAUACGUCCCAUGUCAAGGGUUGGUAAGGUUCUGCGCGUUGCUUCGAAUUAAACCACAUACUCCACCGCUUGUGCGGGUCCCCGUCAAUUCCUUUGAGUUUUAAUCUUGCGACCGUACUCCCCAGGCGGAAUGUUUAUUGCGUUAGCUGCGAUACCGAAAAGUAACCUCCCCGACAUCUAACAUUCAUCGUUUACAGCGUGGACUAC